This 497-nucleotide ribosomal RNA is filed under the name uncultured bacterium. Its description in RNAcentral is "partial 16S ribosomal RNA". It matches the Rfam family "Bacterial small subunit ribosomal RNA", at positions 28 to 507 of the family's 1533-position model. The record is from RNAcentral.
GAUGAACGCUGGCGGCGUGCCUAAUACAUGCAAGUCGAGCGAACAGAUAAGGAGCUUGCUCCUUUGACGUUAGCGGCGGACGGGUGAGUAACACGUGGGUAACCUACCUAUAAGACUGGAAUAACUCCGGGAAACCGGGGCUAAUGCCGGAUAACAUGUUGAACCGCAUGGUUCUACAGUGAAAGGCGGCUUUGCUGUCACUUAUAGAUGGACCCGCGCCGUAUUAGCUAGUUGGUGAGGUAACGGCUCACCAAGGCAACGAUACGUAGCCGACCUGAGAGGGUGAUCGGCCACACUGGAAGUGAGACACGGUCCAGACUCCUACGGGAGGCAGCAGCAGGGAAUCUUCCGCAAUGGGCGAAAGCCUGACGGAGCAACGCCGCGUGAGUGAUGAAGGUCUUCGGAUCGUAAAACUCUGUUAUUAGGGAAGAACAAAUGCGUAAGUAACUGUGCGCGUCUUGACGGUACCUAAUCAGAAAGCCACGGCUAACUACGUG